Molecule: long non-coding RNA, 241 nt
Filed under: Setaria italica (foxtail millet)
Lineage: Eukaryota; Viridiplantae; Streptophyta; Magnoliopsida; Poales; Poaceae
Description: long non-coding RNA (SITA_LNC007446)
Source: RNAcentral
UGAAGCUGUGAAAAAGGCCUCCGGACCCCUUUUCAGCAAAGGAAACGUGUGCUAUAGGUCACGGGAGCCCUAAAGCGGCCACACCGGCAACCGGUGUCGAAAACGUGGGGGAUGCUCCGAAGCCGUAAAAAAGGCUUCCGGACCAGUGUGUUCGGCCAAGAAAACAUGUGCUAUAUGUCACGGGAGCCCCAAAACGACCACACAGGCCACCGGGAUCGAAAACGUGGGCGAUGGUCCGAAG